This 71-nucleotide transfer RNA is filed under the name Loxodonta africana (African savanna elephant). It matches the Rfam family "tRNA". From Rfam's summary of the family: Transfer RNA (tRNA) molecules are approximately 80 nucleotides in length. Their secondary structure includes four short double-helical elements and three loops (D, anti-codon, and T loops). Further hydrogen bonds mediate the characteristic L-shaped molecular structure. tRNAs have two regions of fundamental functional importance: the anti-codon, which is responsible for specific mRNA codon recognition, and the 3' end, to which the tRNAs corresponding amino acid is attached (by aminoacyl-tRNA synthetases). tRNAs cope with the degeneracy of the genetic code in two manners: having more than one tRNA (with a specific anti-codon) for a particular amino acid; and 'wobble' base-pairing, i.e. permitting non-standard base-pairing at the 3rd anti-codon position. The record is from Rfam by way of RNAcentral. Lineage: Eukaryota; Metazoa; Chordata; Mammalia; Proboscidea; Elephantidae.
GCACUGGUGGUUCAGUGGUAGAAUUCUCCCUUUCCAUGUAGCAGACCCAGGUUCAAUUCCUGACCAAUGCA